CAGAAAAUAGUUUAAGUAAAAUAUUAAUUUUGGAGAUUAAAAAUAUAGAGUAUAAUCUAUUUUUCUGA
This 68-nucleotide transfer RNA is filed under the name Coleoptera sp. 12 KM-2017. Its description in RNAcentral is "tRNA-Pro". Lineage: Eukaryota; Metazoa; Arthropoda; Insecta; Coleoptera. The record is from RNAcentral.